GCUUGGUGGUGAGAGUGGCGAACGGGUGAGUAAUGCGUGACCGACCUGCCCCAUACACCGGAAUAGCUCCUGGAAACGGGUGGUAAUGCCGGAUGCUCCGACUCCUCGCAUGGGGUGUCGGGAAAGAUUUCAUCGGUAUGGGAUGGGGUCGCGUCCUAUCAGGUAGUCGGCGGGGUAACGGCCCACCGAGCCUACGACGGGUAGCCGGCCUGAGAGGGCGACCGGCCACAUUGGGACUGAGAUACGGCCCAGACUCCUACGGGAGGCAGCAGUGGGGAAUAUUGCACAAUGGGCGCAAGCCUGAUGCAGCGACGCCGCGUGCGGGAUGACGGCCUUCGGGUUGUAAACCGCUUUUGAUCGGGAGCAAGCCUUCGGGUGAGUGUACCUUUCGAAUAAGCACCGGCUAACUACGUGCCAGCAGCCGCGGUAAUACGUAGGGUGCAAGCGUUAUCCGGAAUUAUUGGGCGUAAAGGGCUCGUAGGCGGUUCGUCGCGUCCGGUGUGAAAGUCCAUCGCUUAACGGUGGAUCUGCGCCGGGUACGGGCGGGCUGGAGUGCGGUAGGGGAGACUGGAAUUCCCGGUGUAACGGUGGAAUGUGUAGAUAUCGGGAAGAACACCAAUGGCGAAGUCAGGUCUCUGGGCCGUUACUGACGCUGAGGAGCGAAAGCGUGGGGAGCGAACAGGAUUAGAUACCCUGGUAGUCCACGCCGUAAACGGUGGAUGCUGGUUGUGGGGCCCGUUCCACGGGUUCCGUGUCGGACCUAACGCGUUAAGCAUCCCGCCUGGGGAGUACGGCCGCAAGGCUAAAACUCAAAGAAAUUGACGGGGGCCCGCACAAGCGGCGGAGCAUGCGGAUUAAUUCGAUGCAACGCGAAGAACCUUACCUGGGCUUGACAUGUUCCCGACAGCCGUAGAGAUAUGGCCUCCCUUCGGGGCGGGUUCACAGGUGGUGCAUGGUCGUCGUCAGCUCGUGUCGUGAGAUGUUGGGUUAAGUCCCGCAACGAGCGCAACCCUCGCCCUGUGUUGCCAGCACGUCAUGGUGGGAACUCACGGGGGACCGCCGGGGUCAACUCGGAGGAAGGUGGGGAUGACGUCAGAUCAUCAUGCCCCUUACGUCCAGGGCUUCACGCAUGCUACAAUGGCCGGUACAACGGGAUGCGACACGGCGACGUGGAGCGGAUCCCUGAAAACCGGUCUCAGUUCGGAUUGGAGUCUGCAACCCGACUCCAUGAAGGCGGAGUCGCUAGUAAUCGCGGAUCAGCAACGCCGCGGUGAAUGCGU
RNAcentral lists this ribosomal RNA (1280 nucleotides) under Bifidobacterium pseudocatenulatum. Its description in RNAcentral is "bacterial SSU rRNA". It matches the Rfam family "Bacterial small subunit ribosomal RNA", at positions 81 to 1371 of the family's 1533-position model. Lineage: Bacteria; Bacillati; Actinomycetota; Actinomycetes; Bifidobacteriales; Bifidobacteriaceae. RNAcentral also lists the same sequence under 1 other name. The record is from RNAcentral.